ACCCAUCGUGGAGAAGGUCACCGCCGCCGGCGCCAAGGUCGUCUGGCAGUGCGAUCCCAUGCACGGCAACACGUUCGAGUCGUCCAACGGGUAC
RNAcentral lists this transfer RNA (94 nucleotides) under Actinocatenispora sera. RNAcentral's name for it is "tRNA-Leu". Lineage: Bacteria; Bacillati; Actinomycetota; Actinomycetes; Micromonosporales; Micromonosporaceae. The record is from RNAcentral.